CGGGGAGACCGUCCCGGUGCUGCCGGUGCCGGCAGAGGAGAGCCCGGCCCGGCGGCCGCCGCUCGGCUCUUCCCGCAGCCGCUCCCGAGCGUCUCCAUCCAGCGGCUCCGCUCCCUCCGCCGUGCCGGGAAGCGGCUCUCGGGUGGUCCCGACCCCGCUGCUGUGCCCUAAGCGAGGGAUGCUGAGGAUUCUGAUCCCCCCGGGAAUCCCGCUCCAUCCUCCCACCAAUCCCGAGGAUUACUGAAUGGAGCCAGCAAGGAUUAAACCUACAUUUAAAAGAUAAACAAAUAAAUUCAAAUAUAUAAACGCGUAUAUUCAAUGUAUAGCUACAUAUAUAAAUGUAAAUACAUGCACAUGAUCUAAAUAAGCACUCUAAAUGAAUAUAUCAUAGCUAAAUAAAUAGCUGCAUAAAUA
This is a long non-coding RNA of Taeniopygia guttata (zebra finch), 414 nucleotides long. RefSeq lists it as uncharacterized. Lineage: Eukaryota; Metazoa; Chordata; Aves; Passeriformes; Estrildidae. The record is from RefSeq and is a predicted model, not a curated record.